GAUCAUGGCUCAGGACGAACGCUGGCGGCGCGCCUAACACAUGCAAGUCGAACGGAGAUACCUGUUAGAUCCCUUCGGGGUGACGAUGGACUAUCUUAGUGGCGGACGGGUGAGUAACACGUGAGCAACCUGCCUUACAGAGUGGGAUAACGUUUGGAAACGAACGCUAAUACCGCAUAACAUUAACUUAUCGCAUGGUAAGAUAAUCAAAGAAAUUCGCUGUAAGAUGGGCUCGCGU
Molecule: ribosomal RNA, 238 nt
Filed under: uncultured bacterium
Lineage: Bacteria
Description: partial 16S ribosomal RNA
Rfam family: Bacterial small subunit ribosomal RNA
Source: RNAcentral